GGUUAAGCGACUAAGCGUACACGGUGGAUGCCCUGGCAGUCAGAGGCGAUGAAGGACGUGCUAAUCUGCGAAAAGCGUCGGUAAGGUGAUAUGAACCGUUAUAACCGGCGAUGUCCGAAUGGGGAAACCCAGUGUGAUUCGUCACACUAUCGUUAACUGAAUACAUAGGUUAACGAGGCGAACCGGGGGAACUGAAACAUCUAAGUACCCCGAGGAAAAGAAAUCAACCGAGAUUCCCCCAGUAGCGGCGAGCGAACGGGGAGCAGCCCAGAGUCUGAAUCAGCUUGUGUGUUAGUGGAACGGUCUGGAAAGUCCGACGGUACAGGGUGAUAGUCCCGUACACCAAAAUGCACAGGCUGUGAACUCGAAGAGUAGGGCGGGACACGUGGUAUCCUGUCUGAAUAUGGGGGGACCAUCCUCCAAGGCUAAAUACUCCUGACUGACCGAUAGUGAACCAGUACCGUGAGGGAAAGGCGAAAAGAACCCCGGCGAGGGGAGUGAAAAAGAACCUGAAACCGUGUACGUACAAGCAGUGGGAGCACCUUCGGGUGUGACUGCGUACCUUUUGUAUAAUGGGUCAGCGACUUAUAUUCUGUAGCAAGGUUAACCGUAUAGGGGAGCCGCAGGGAAACCGAGUCUUAACUGGGCGUUAAGUUGCAGGGUAUAGACCCGAAACCCGGUGAUCUAGCCAUGGGCAGGUUGAAGGUUGGGUAACACUAACUGGAGGACCGAACCGACUAAUGUUGAAAAAUUAGCGGAUGACUUGUGGCUGGGGGUGAAA
RNAcentral lists this ribosomal RNA (781 nucleotides) under Pseudomonas aeruginosa. Its description in RNAcentral is "partial 23S ribosomal RNA". It matches the Rfam family "Bacterial large subunit ribosomal RNA", at positions 1 to 826 of the family's 2925-position model. Lineage: Bacteria; Pseudomonadati; Pseudomonadota; Gammaproteobacteria; Pseudomonadales; Pseudomonadaceae. The record is from RNAcentral.